RNAcentral lists this ribosomal RNA (253 nucleotides) under uncultured bacterium. Its description in RNAcentral is "partial 16S ribosomal RNA". It matches the Rfam family "Bacterial small subunit ribosomal RNA", at positions 524 to 776 of the family's 1533-position model. The record is from RNAcentral.
UACGGAGGGUGCAAGCGUUAUCCGGAUUCACUGGGUUUAAAGGGUGCGUAGGUGGGCUGGUAAGUCAGUGGUGAAAUCCCCGAGCUUAACUUGGGAACUGCCAUUGAUACUAUCAGUCUUGAAUACUGUGGAGGUCAACAGAAUAUGUCAUGUAGCGGUGAAAUGCUUAGAUAUGACAUAGCAUACCAAUUGCGAAGGCAGCUGGCUACACAAAUAUUGACACUGAGGCACGAAAGCGUGGGGAUCAAACAGG